RNAcentral lists this ribosomal RNA (459 nucleotides) under uncultured bacterium. RNAcentral's name for it is "partial 16S ribosomal RNA". It matches the Rfam family "Bacterial small subunit ribosomal RNA", at positions 338 to 795 of the family's 1533-position model. The record is from RNAcentral.
CCUACGGGAGGCAGCAGUGAGGAAUAUUGGUCAAUGGGCGCGAGCCUGAACCAGCCAAGUCGCGUGAGGGAAGACGGUCCUAUGGAUUGUAAACCUCUUUUGUCGGGGAGCAAAAGACGCCACGCGUGGCGUUCCGCGCGUACCCGAAGAAACAGCAUCGGCAAACUCCGUGCCAGCAGCGGCGGUAAUACGGAGGAUGCGAGCGUUAUCCGGUUUUAUUGGGUUAAAAGAGUGCGCAGGCGGAAGAUCAAGUCAGCGGUAAAAUUGAGAGGCUCAACCUCUUCGGGCCGUUGAAACUGGUUUGCUUGAGUGGGGGAGAAGUAUGCGGAAUGCGUGGUGUAGCGGUGAAAUGCAUAGAUAUCACGCAGAACUCCGAUUGCGAAGGCAGCAUACCGGCGCCCUACUGACGCUGAGGCACGAAAGCGUGGGUAUCGAACAGGAUUAGAUACCCGGGUAGUC